UCCUGACACCUCCCCACUCUGAACACACCCGAUCUCAUCUGAUUUCGGAAGCAAAGCAAGGUCGGGCUGGGUGAGUGCUUGGAUGGGAGGCCACAGGCAAUUGCAAUAGCGUGUUGGAGG
This is a non-coding RNA of Myotis davidii, 120 nucleotides long. The record is from Rfam. NCBI's taxonomy places the organism in Eukaryota, Metazoa, Chordata, Mammalia, Chiroptera, Vespertilionidae.